AGCUCCAAUAGCGUAUAUUAAAGUUGUUGCAGUUAAAAAGCUCGUAGUUGGAUUUCUGGCAGGGGACAAGAGACCGCUUGCAGCGUGUGCUCGCUGCCCCCUACCAUCCUUCUGUUAACGUGCCAGGACAUUCGCUUGUCGGGCACGGGCUCAGAUAAUUUACCUUGAGAAAAUUAGAGUGUUUCAGGCAGGCUGACGCCGGGAUACAUUAGCAUGGAAUAAUGGAAUAGGACUUUCGCCUCUUCUGUUGGUCUGAGGGGAGAUUGUAAUGAUUAAUAGGGAUAGUUGGGGGCAUUAGUACUUAACUGUCAGAGGUGAAAUUCUCGGAUUUGUUAAAGACUAACUUAUGCGAAAGCAUUUGCCAAGGAUGUUU
This 373-nucleotide ribosomal RNA is filed under the name uncultured eukaryote. Its description in RNAcentral is "SSU rRNA". It matches the Rfam family "Eukaryotic small subunit ribosomal RNA", at positions 587 to 969 of the family's 1831-position model. The record is from RNAcentral.